This 467-nucleotide ribosomal RNA is filed under the name uncultured bacterium. Its description in RNAcentral is "partial 16S ribosomal RNA". It matches the Rfam family "Bacterial small subunit ribosomal RNA", at positions 28 to 506 of the family's 1533-position model. The record is from RNAcentral.
GACGAACGCUGGCGGCGUGCUUAACACAUGCAAGUCGAACGGAAAGGCCCUGCUUUUGUGGGGUGCUCGAGUGGCGAACGGGUGAGUAACACGUGAGUAACCUGCCCUUGACUUUGGGAUAACUUCAGGAAACUGGGGCUAAUACCGGAUAGGAGCUCCUGCUGCAUGGUGGGGGUUGGAAAGUUUCGGCGGUUGGGGAUGGACUCGCGGCCUAUCAGCUUGUUGGUGGGGUAGUGGCUUACCAAGGCUUUGACGGGUAGCCGGCCUGAGAGGGUGACCGGCCACAUUGGGACUGAGAUACGGCCCAGACUCCUACGGGAGGCAGCAGUGGGGAAUAUUGCACAAUGGGCGGAAGCCGGAUGCAGCAACGCCGCGUGCGGGAUGACGGCCUUCGGGUGGUAAACCGCUUUCGCCUGUGACGAAGCGUGAGUGACGGUAAUGGGUAAAGAAGCACCGGCUAACUACGU